CCAACUGGUAGUGGAGGAUUGAAUCGACCACGUGCGUUAACUAUGCACAUCAUGCGAACAUCCUCAUUUGCCUCUAUCUGCAUUGCUUUUGUGCGACAUCGCCAAAGACAUGCUGUGAUAAGAUCAAAUGUGGAGCAAUGUUGAAGGUGUUGGGGAAUGGAUUUGCGAAGUGCAGCUAUGUCGAGGCGUCCAAAGAAGAAUGAUCGUUGAAUCAAGUUGUGGUUGGAAGAAGGGAGGGUAUCUUGGAUUUGCUCGUAUUCAGGAUGGUUGCGUGUAAUGCGAGGUGGAUCUCUUGCCAUUAGGAGCUCCCUACGCCAUACUGGUGCAAUGGAAGGUUUGGUUGCUCCUCUAGCCAUUUCGACCCAAGCGUUCAUGAAUUGUUGGUAACCAAAACCAUCAGCCAUGGUGUGGCUAAAGCGGAGAGCCAAGAUGAAACCACCACACUUGAGUCGUGUCACCUGCAUUUAUAUUCCAUCUUCAACAAUUCAGACAAUUUCAUUGUUUAACUCUCACAUUAAUUACGAAAUUAUAAUAUAUAUAUAUAUAUAUUUAAGAUAUCAAAACUUUAUUUUAAAUUGAGUAACUUAAGAGAAAUUAGCUAAAAUGAAAAAGUAACCGGAAUAAUUUCAAUAUAUGUCAAUUUAAUUAUUUAAUUUUAGUAAACUAAACACUUGUGCACGUGAUUUUAGUGAUUUUUUAUUUUGAAAAAUAAGUGAAUAAUAGAUAUUUUGAGUUGUUUUUAUAUUUUACUUUUUUAAAAAAACAAAUUUCAAAUGGUAGAUUUUGACAGAAUUUAAUUGGGGAGUAACAAAUAAUUAUAUCAGAAUUCAGUUCUUAAAAUUAAAAAAAAAAUCUAGAAAAUGAAUAAAACAUGUCUUAGUUUGAUGAGUAUGUGUAGUGAACCUGUACGAGUAGAAGGGGAGUUUCGGUAAUUUGUUGUGAGCAAGGAACAUCGUACAUCAGUUCAUGGAAGCAUGGGAAUGGAGGCUGGAGAGAAUCACCAAACUCAGCCAGUGUGACGUCAGCAUCAGCCUCGAUGAACAUGGCUCCUUCUCCAGUGCAAUCCACCAUUAAUUUGCGUUGAGGUCCUUCCCUAAGCCUACCUGCAAAUGGGUAAUAGAAGACAAGUGUUUGCGACAGUGCUUGCCGAAUCACUUCAACUGGGUCUUUCUCUGCCAUUGAUUCCUGCUUUCCAUAAAUUUGUAUCAUUGGAAUGUGGAAACGCAGGGCUUCUUGAUCAUCAAUGUCGGAAAGUAGCUUGAGUUCAUGAGGAGUGGGGAUAGCAGGAGCCACCAGCUGAGGUUCGCACCUUCGCACUGUAAACUUUAGAGAAGAAGAAGAGAAAGAAGAUGAUAAAGAUGAGGCCAUGAGAAUUAUGAGAGAAGAGAAGAGAAGAAAAAUGAAGCAAAUGGAUUUUGGUUGAGUGACUGUGAGUUCCUCGGACUUAGGCUGCAACCCUUUAUAGAUGGAAAUCAUUCUCAUCAAAUAAAUUCGAAACACGUUUUCAUGAUGAGCAAUAAUACUUUUUAUCUAGAUAAUCAUUCAUUAUAAGAUAUAGACAUUGAAGUGAAUUAUUAUUAUUAAACUAAAGUUUAUAAAUAUAAAUUAAAGUUAAACAUAAGUUUGCAUAUAAGAUUAUUUAUGAAAGGUCAGACAUCAAUACGAAAAUGGACCCAAAGUGUCGCACAGCCACAAUAUAACCUGACCUUAUCAAGUGCUUAUCUGAAAGAAAAAAAAGUUACUAAAAAAAACAUGUAGUCUGAUCACGGUGAAGGACGUAAAAAUUGUGUAAAAUUAAAAAAAGUUACAGUAAGUUGUCAGAGGUCGUGAAUUAAAUAGUUACAGUAAGUUGUUAUGUUGUUCUAAGUUUUAGAAGGUUAGGUUGUUUAGAAGGGAGGAACUCAUCAUCCACUUCUAUUCCUUUCUUGGAAAUAGAGAAUGAGGGACAGCCGUGAACGACGAUACUCCGGUGUAUGGCGACAAUGCCAAGGUGGAUGGAGGGAGGACCAACGGGGGAAGCGGAUCGUAGAGACAAACAAAGCGUCCUCAAACGAAAGCUCGACUUUUUUCUUCUCAAAUUUUCCAAGUACCCAUGGUGAGUAUGACAUGUUGAAGAUUUUUCAGAGAUGGGCUAGGGUGAAAGAGGUAUUCAUUUCCAAACAUAGAAAUAGGUGGGGAAGAAGGUUCGGGUUUGUGAGAUUCUUUAUGGUACCGAACGUGUUCAAACUAGAGAAGGAGUUGGAUCAGAUCUUCAUUGGUGAUAUGAAACUUUAUGUUAACUUGCCAAAAUAUAGGAGAUCUGAGCAUUUUCAACAAGGGGGGGCGCCACUUGCGGAAGGCAAGGAUAAGCACCAUGCUCAUAGACCAAAAGGGCAAUUGAGGGGCAAGGAAUGGAGAGUAGUAAAAGGGAAGGGUGGUAACAGGGACCAUCUAGUGAAGCAGUCGUAUGCUGAAGUUGUUAGGAAACAGUCACAAGACCAGUGGACGGGACCAAGUAUUGACACUACUUCAAAAGUUCUCCCAUGGAUGUCAUAUAGUGCAGUAGGUUGGAUGGUACCGGAUUUAAACUAUACGGCUCUGUGUGAAGAGUUUAUCAAAGGGGGUAUGGCUAUGAUUAAGGUGAGACCUAUGGGAGAUAACCUUGUUCUCUUGACUCCUAGGGAAGGUGAAAGCAUGGAAGAUAUUAUUAAGCUGAAUAAAAGUUGGUUUACAAGUGCCUUCGAGGAAAUUGAACCGUGGUCUACGUCAGUUGUAGCGACCCAUAGGCUGGUAUGGGCGAGGUGCUAUGGACUUCCUAUUUCACUAUGGAAUAAGGAUUGUUUAUCUAAGUUGGUCGAAGGCAUCAGUCAAUUUCUUUGGAGGGGUGAAUAUCGAUCUCAUAAAUGGGGCUUUAUGCCCAGUUCGUUCCUUUCGCGAGUGCGCGGACAAAGGGGGACCUUCUAUCUGUCUGCAACAUAAUCAUAUUGGAUUACCAGGAGAAUCAAGUAGUGUGGACAGUUCAACGCCGAAAAAGAAAGAAGAAUUUGAUGAUAAAAUUAACUCAAGGGCAGAAGCAGAAUCCAAUACACCAGAGAGUGUGCGUAGACUCCGAAACCUGUGGGAGCAGGGCACGAAACAGUCCUGUGUGCGAUGGAGAUCGAAGGGAGGUUUAGGACCACUACAUUAUGGCGUCAAUUCUUCAUCUAGGUUAAGUCGCUGCUCCUUUGCUGAAUCUGAAAGUGACAUUGAACUUUGUAAUAAUAGAUUGAGAAUUGAGGAUACUGUUGAUGAGCCAGUACAGAUUUGGGAUGCGGGCAAACGGUUAGGUUUGAGGUGUUCAGGGGAGGAGGUGAAUGUUGUAGUAGAACUGGAAUGUAUGGAAGUUAGGGACAAGGAAGUCAGAAAAUGUGCAGAGGAGGGCACCAACCCCGUUGGUUUAUGAUUAUUGUUGAUCUUAAUAUUAGGGGGUGGGGGGGGGGGGGUACCAAAACAAAUUAUCUGAAACAUUGUAUUACUAAGGAGAAUGCGGAAUUUGUGUGUUUGCAGGAGACAAAAACUACGACUUUCUCAGAUAUUAGAUGUUUCUCACUUUGGGGAACAAUAAUAUUGGUUGGAUACAUUAUGAAGGCAAUAAUGGAGCUGGGAGUAUGAUCUCCAUGUGGCAGAAAGAUAAAUUUUGCUAUGAGACGCAUGUUGUGGGGACUGGAUUCAUUGCGGUAGUAGGUCAACAUAUUCAUUCUGGUCACAGGUGCUUCGUGGUUAAUGUUUAUGCAGCUUGUAAUCUUAGAGCAAAAAUAACUUUAUGGGAAGAUUUAUCGUCUUUCAGGCGGACCUAUCAGAACAUGGCUGGUUGUUAUUGUGGAGACUUUAAUGCUGUAAGAAGGGAAGAUGAAAGGAAAGGUAUUGGUAGGGGAACCAGCCAGAGGAAGGAGAUGAGUGGCUUUAAUGACUUUAUUGACACAAACUGCUUGGUGGACAUACCAACUGCAGGCAAAAAGUUUACUUGGUUCAAACCAAAUGGUACUGCUAAAAGUAGGUUGGAUAGAUUUCUUGUGUCUGAAGAGUGGAUUCAGUUUUGGCCUUUCUACAAGCAAUAUGUGCAGCAAAGAACUGUGUCCGAUCACUGUGCUAUUGUGGCGAAAUCUUGGGUUAAAGAUAGGGGUCCUAAACCCUUUCGUUCGAUCGAUGCUUGGUUUUUGGAGCCAGGAUUCAAGGCGUAUGUACAAGAGAAAUGGGGCUCAUACAAUAGCCAGGGUAACAACAUAUCUAGCUUCAAGGACAAACUAAAAUUGCUGAAGGCUGAUUUGAAAGUGUGGAAUAUGAAAGUGUUCGGGUGUUUACAGACAAAUCAAAGGCAAAUCCUGAAGGAAAUUGAGAACAUUGACGUUAAGGAUGAUAAUGAAGGUCUAGAGGAGCAUGAUCGACUAAAACGAUUGGAGUUACUGAGUCAGCUACGAUUGGUUGAUAGUAAGAUGGAUUCUCUUUCAAGGCAGAAAGCAAGAGCAAAUUGGUGUAAGUUUGGGGACAUAAACUCCAGAUUUUAUCAUACAACUAUCAGAUGGAGAAGACUGAAGAACGAAGUUAAAGGAGUGGAAGUUGGGGGGCAAUGGUGUGAAGAACCGGAAGUGGUUAGAAGGGAAGCAAAGUCUUUGUUUGAAAAAAGGUUCACAGCUACACAAGAUUCUGGAGUUAAUCUGAGAUCUGUGGAGUUUAAAUGCCUUCCCCAAGAAAUCAGCAUAAGCAUGGUUGCAAGUUUCACAGAGGAAGAAGUAAAAGAAGCAGUGUGUCAAUGUGAAGGAACAAAGAGUCCAGGCCUGGAUGGAUUCAAUUUCACGUUUAUUAGGAAUUGCUGGGAUUGCCUUAAAAGUGACAUUAUGGAAGCUUUGCACUUGUUCCAUGAAAAUGGAGUUAUACCAAAGGAUUGUAAUGCCUCUUUUAUAGCCCUGAUACCUAAAGUGCCUGAUCCCUUAUCUUUAGACCAGUUUAGGCCCAUUUCCCUGGUAGGCACUUUUUAUAAGAUCGUCUCUAAGGUCCAAGCGGGACGUAUGAAGGGUGUUCUUCCUUUGGUUAUUGAUGAAAACCAAUUAGCUUUUUUGAAGAACAGAGGUCUGCUUGAUAGUGUACUCAUGGCAAAUGAGGUGGUGGAGGAGGUUAGGAGGAACCGGAGAAGUGCACUCUGCUUUAAAGUGGACUAUGAAAAGGCAUAUGAUUCUGUAAGGUGGAACUUCUUAUACGACAUGUUACAAAGGCUAGGCUUCCAUAGCAAUUGGGUGAGGUGGGUUAGAGGGUGCUUGGAAUCGGCUUCCAUUUCGGUGCUUGUCAAUGGAAGCCCAACAGAGGAAUUUAUCCCGUCAAGAGGGCUGAGACAGGGUGAUCUUAUGGCUCCUUUUUUGUUUCUCGUGGUUGCUGAAGGUUUGGCUGGGCUUGUGAGACAAGCGACUAAGCUAAAAAUGUUAACAGGCGUGAAGGUGGGAAGGAAGGAAAUAGAGUGCAGCAUGCUCCAAUUCGCAGACGACACUUUGCUCAUGUGUGAGGAUAAUUUUUCAAAUGUGUUCACGAUAAAGACGAUCCUAAGAUGUUUUCAACUAGUCUCAGGUUUGAAAAUUAAUUUUCAUAAGUCCAAAUUGGCAGGGAUAAAUGUGGAUAGGUUCACUCUGGAAACUUAUGCCAAGUCUCUCAAUUGUUUUACAAUGCGCAUGCCUUUCAAGUACUUGGGGUUAGAAGUAGGAGGGAACCCAAGGAAGGUACAGUUCUGGGAACCGGUUGUCAAUAAGGUCAGAGCUAGGCUUAGCACUUGGAAAGGGAGGCGCUUAUCUAUGGCGGGUAGGAUUUGCCUGAUCAAAUCUGUGUUCACAUCUAUUCCCCUUUUCUACUUAUCUUUCUUUAAAGCUCCGAUCUCGAUCUGUAAUACAAUCACGAGCAUCCAAAGGAGUUUUCUGUGGGCCUGGGGUAGAGAUAAUAAAUCUAUACCUUGGGUAAGUUGGGGGAAAAUUUGUAAACCUUUUGAGGAAGGUGGUCUGCGUAUCAAGGAUAUCAGGAAAUUCAACUAUGCGUUGAUGGCGAAAUGGAAAUGGAGGCUAAUGAGUGAUGAGAAGGGGAAAUGGAAAGAUAUUUUGGAGUCCAAAUAUAUGGUCACUCUUGGUGGUGGAGAGACUUAGAAAAAAUAUGUAGGGAGGGUAAUGGUGUAGGCUGGUUUCAACAAGCUGUUAAAUGGAAUGUCAGAUCUGGGGACUUAGUUCGUUUAUGGGAGGAUCCUUGGAUUAAUGACAAUAAACUCAAGGAUUUAUUUCCUAGGUUAUACUCUAUUUCGCUGAAUCAAGGGAUGACGGUGGGUGAAACUGGUUAUUGGGAUGAUCAUGGGUGGACCUGACAUUUGAACUGGAGAAGGGAGAGAUUUUGCUGGGAGUCGGAUGUGGAGGAAUAAUUAUUAACAAUUCUAGCCAGGGAAGUUUUGGUUAAGGAUGCUAAAGAUUUUAUUACUUGGAGUGGGGAUUCCAAGGGGUUAUUCUCGGUAAAAUCAGCAUAUGGUCUCUUAACCAAUCAGGUUUCUGAACCGAGUAAUGCUGUUUUUAGUCUGUUAUGGAGGACCAAAGCUGUCCCAAAAGUGUUAACCACGGCCUGGAGAAUCUUGCUGGACAGAAUUCCGACUUAUCAUAAUCUUGUGGUACGAGGAAUAGUGGUGAAUUCACCUCUGUGUGUAUUCUGUAACUUGCAAGUUGAAUCCACACAACAUUUGUUUUUGUAUUGUGCUUUUGCUUACUGUGUAUGGAUGAUGUGCUACCAAUGGAUAGGUGUAGUGGGAACACAAAAUAGGGACAUUUGUAAUCACUUUCUGAACUUUCACUUAACUAAUAUGUCUGAAAAACAGAAUCAGGUCUGGAGGGGAGUGUGGGUGGCCAUCACACGAAGCAUAUGGGAGCAUAGGAAUAAUGUUAUCUUCAGACAAGAAGUUCCCGAUCCCGAAGAAACUCUACAAGCAGCUCAACUUAUAGUUUGGCUAUGGCUAAAACAUAAGGAAAGCUCGUUCUCAUAUUCUUUCUCUGAUUGGAUCCUUAACCCAUUUCAAUGUCUAUUGAGUGUUUGUUAAAUAGGGGAGGGAUGGUGUAUGCUAGUAUUUAUACACUAUUGUGGGGCUGGUUUGUGGCAGGUUUAGGGUAGUUGGUGGUCGCCGAAGGUAUGCAUCAUCGCCGUUUUUGAAGAAGGCCAACAUGAACGCCGGACGAUAAAGAGGCGUUCUCCAUGCCUGCGUAGUCGGUGGUCGUCGAAGUGGUGCAUCAUCGCCGUCUUUGAAGAACAGAAGUUCAUUUGAAGUGAGGGGCGAUGUGGAUGAGGACACGUGGAAGGCCAAUAUGAUCGCCAGUCGAUAAAGCGGCGCUCUCCAUUCGUGCGUAGUUGGUGGUCGUCGAAGGUAUGCAUCAUCACCGUGUUGAAGAAGGCCAACAUGAUCGCCGGUCGAUGUGGCGGCGAUCUCCGUGCGUGCAUAGUCGGUGGUCGCCGAAGCUGUGCAUCAUCGUUGUCUUAGAAGAACAGAAGUUCAGAUAUUGGAAGUGAGGGGCGAUGUGGAUGAGGACACGUGGAAGGCUAGUAUUAUCGUCGGUCGAUAAAGCGGCGCUUUCCAUGCGUGCGUAGUCGGUGGUCGCCGAAGGUAUGCAUCAUCGCCGUUUUUGAAGAAAGCCAACAUGAUCGCCGGACGAUAAAGAGGCGUUCUCCAUGCGCGCGCGUAGUCGGUGGUCGCCGAAGUGAAGCGGCGAUCUCCGUGCGUGCGUAGGCAGUGGUCGCCGAAGUUAUGUAUCAUCGCCGUACUUGAAGAACAGAAGAUCAGAUAGCCGGAAAUCGUCGUGGUAGGCACAUCGCCGGGUUUCCAGAAAGCUUAAUUGAAGCUGUUAGAGGUUUACGUAUAAAACUGAAGACCUAGGCAGGAGGUAUUUUAUGUUCACUGUCAUAGGAGGUUGAGAGAGGCAGCACUAGCCAUUGGGUGUGGAGGUUGCGGAAAGUCACUCUCCAAGUACCAUUCAACAUGGUGGGAGGACCUAAUGGUGUUAUGGUGGUGUGAAAUUGUUGUUUAGUGUUUUGAAACAGUCCAACAUUACAAUAGUAGUAGAAUGGAGCAGUUUUUAUGAUAUAUCUUUUUAUCCCUUGUUUUGGGAUACCUCGUGGAGGUCCUAAAAAACAGGGUUUGGGUUUUGUAAAGGGUUGGAAUACCCCUUUUGUAUCCCCUUAAUUUAAUUUAAUUCUUUGCUGAUAAAAAAUAAAAAAAAUAAUAAAAAUAAAAAUAAUCUUGAUCUUGAUCUUAGAAAUUAAUUUAUAUUUAAAUUAACAUUUUAAUAUAAUAUUAGUUAUGUAAUUUUCCUAUAAAAUCACUUGGUUGAUACACGAUAUUAGAGUUGAACUCAAUACCAAAUAUCAAUUAUACAUGUUUGUUUUUUAAGAUAAUGACAAAUAGUUAAAAUUUGAUAUUAAAAUUUUGAUAUGUUGAGAGUUAUUUUUUUUUUCUUAAAAAAUAUUUUUGGUGUUCGAACUCUUGUACAAACUCAAAAAAAAAUCUGGAACAUGUAAAAAGAACAAUUAAUAUUAAAGCUGCAAUGUGAAGUCCCUAUUUAUCAAGACAUGACAGGAACUUAUCAAGAUUCUAAAAGCUGGAUCCCAAACACUCUUAAGAGUUAUCGAAAGAAUGUUAUCCACGAAAGAAAAAUGAUGAAUGUAUUUCUAUAAUUUGACAAUCAUCACGCGUGCCACAUUUAAUGAAAAGUGAUUUCUGACAGACGUACACCAAUACAACUAGUAUUCCCUACCGUGGUGUUCGUACUAUGAAACCUUAAAAUUCAACCAAAAAUAUCAACACUUAAACUUUCAGUUUAAAAGUGCGAGAAAAUUUGAAAAAAGAUUAUUUUAAUAAAUUAAUCUUUUAUAAUAUAAUUUUCUUUCAUUAAUAAUUACAUUUUGUAAAUAAAUAAUUAAGACAAAUAUUAUAAUAAAAAAUAAAUAUUAAUAUUUUAUUUUAAUAAUAAAUUGAAAAUUUAUUUUAUUUAAAUUAAUUUAUUAUCAUUUUAAAAUAUAAUUUUUUAUAUAUUAAAAUAUAUAAUAAUUUAUUCUUUUAAUUUAAAUUUUAUUUACAUUUUAAAAAUUACUUUUUAUAUUAAAUUUUAUUACAAAAAUCAUUUUUAUCAAUUAAAAUUUUAACUAUAUCCAUCACAUCACUCUCGUAAACUUUCAUAAAGUUUUCUUUCAUUUUCAUAAUUUAUCUUAAUCUAAACAACCUUACUUUCUUUACAUUUUUUUUUUCAAAUCCACUAUCUCAUCCAAACAAAGAAGUUCUACAAAUAUACUAUUCAUCAAAGAUGAAAAAGUGAAAGACACACAUGUUUUGAUCUAUUUAUUUACACUAAAAUAAGAGUGAGUAAUAAUGUAAAAAGUUAUUGUUCACACGCUCACUCAUUUGUAAAGAAAGACGAAAACCCUAUCCCUAAUGUUUAGCCCAAACACUAAUCUCUAACCCUAAUCACACCUUUAACCAUAACCCUACCCGUAACACAACCCCACAACCACCAAACCUACCAAGCAUCCCUUAAUUCUAAACAAUAAUCCAUAACCAUGAUGCAUAUACGAAUACGUAAAAACCUAAACAUACUAAAAUUAAUAUAAAUAGUAUAAGUAAAUAAACAAAUGGUUCAAGUAUCAAUAAAUUACAAAAUGAUUAACUUUUAGAUAAAUAAAUAACAAUAAACAGUUUUGUAAAAGAAAUAUUCAUCCCAAAAAGACGAAUAACUCAAAAACAAUUUUAUCUUUUUUGAAAUCAUUAACAUACAAAAAUUAUUCUAUUCCCUUCAAAUUUUGUUGAUUUAUUUAUUUUAAAUUUUGUUUACGCAGAACAUCAAAAUAUUUUAGAUUUGUAUUUAUUUAAGAUUUUGAAUAAGUUAAUAAUUUUAUUUAUUUAUGAUACUAAAUAUUUACGGUUUCUCUUUUUAUUUAGGAUUUUGAACAAAUUUAGGAAUUUAAUUUGUUUAUGAUUUUUAUUUAAUUUGAACAUUAAAUAAUUUUUAAAAAUUAGAAAUUUUAUUAAUUUUAAAUUUUUAUUUAAGAACGCAAUUAAAUAAUGACAUUAAAUAUUUAUGUUUUCUGUUUAUUUAGGAUUUUCUAUUAAUUUAAAAAUUUAAAUUAUUUCAUAUUUUUAUUUAAGUAAAAUAUUAAAUAAUUUAAGUUUAUUUAUUUAGGAUUUUGAAAAUAAAUAAAAAAAUAUUUAUUUUUUUAUAUUCUUUAAGUAGGAAAUACAAUAACUUAGAAUUUUGAAAAACUUAAAUUUUUUAUUAAUUUUAGAUUUUUAUUUAAGAAUGUAAUUAAAUAAAUUAGGAUGUUGUAUCUAUUUAGUAUAUUUAGUAUUUUGAAUACUUUAGAAAUUUUAUUAAUUUUUUAUUUUUUAUUUAAGAAUGAUAUUUUUUUUUUGGAUUUAUUAUAAUUUAGAAUUUUGAGAAACUUAUAAAUUUUAUUUAUUUUAGAUUUUUAUUUAACUGGAAAUACAAUAAUUUAAGGCUUUUAAAAACAUAGAAAUUUAUUUGGUUUAGAUUUUUAUUUAUGUAUGACAUAAAAUAAGUUAGGGUUUGUAUUUAUUUAGAAUUUUGAAUAACUUAGAAUUUUUUUUUAUUUCACACUUUUAAUUAAGUAGAACCUUAAAUAAGUUAAGAUUUGUAUUUAUUUAAAAGUUUGAAUAAUUUAGAAAUUUUAUUUAUUGAAAAUUUGUAGUUAAGUAAGAUAUUAAAUAAUUUUAAUUUGAAUUUAUUUAAGAUUUUGAAUAAUUUUAGAAUUUUAAUUAUUUUAUUUUUGUAUUUACGUAUGACAUAAUUAAUAAUUUAGGGUGUCUAUUUAUUUUUAGAUUUUAAAUAAUUUUGGAAUUUAAUUUAUUUCAUAUUUUUAUUAAAGUAGAACAUUAAAUAAUUUAGGUUAUGUAUUUAUUUAGGAUUUUGAAAAUUUUAAAAGUAUUAUUUAUUUUAGAUUAUUAUUUAAGUAUAAAAUUUAGGAUUUGUAUUUAUUUAGAAAUUUGAAAAGUUAGAAAUUUUAUUAAUUUUAGAUUUUUUUUUAUAAAAAUGACAUUAAAUAAUUUAGGAUAUGGAUUUAUUUAAAAUUUUGAAUAAUUUAGGAAUUUUAUUGUUUUCAAUUUUUGUUUAAGAAUGACACUACAAAGUUUAGGAUUUUUAUUUAUUUAGAAUAAUAAAAAACUUAGAAUUUUAAUUUAUUUUAUAUUUUUUUUAUUUAAGUAGGAAAUAAAAUAAUUUCAGAUCUUGUAUUUAUUUUGGAUUUUAAAUUUUUAAAAAAAAUAAUAUUUAAGAUUUGUUUUAAAGUAUUUAAAUAAAAAAUAAAAUAAUUUAAUAUUUUGUAUUUAUUUAGAAUUUUGAAAAACUUAUAAAUUUUAGGUUAUGAUUUAUGUGUAUUUGAAUUUUGAAUAAUUUAAAAAUUUACUUUAUUUUAGAUUUUAAUUUAAGUAGGACAUUUAAUAGUUUAGAAUUUGUAUUUAGUAAGAUUUUAAAUAAUUUAAGAAUUUAUUUAAGAUAUUUUAUAUAAGUAUGACAUUAAAGAAUUUUAGGAUUUGUAUUUGUUUAGAUUUUUGAAUAAUUUAGAAAUGUUAUUGCAAAUUUUUAUUUAAAUAUGACAUUCAUUUAUUUAGGAUUUCUAUUUGUUUAGAAUUUUGAAUAAUUUAGAAAUUUUAUCUAUUGGAAGUUUUUAUUUUUAUUUAAGUAGGACAUUAAAUAAUUAUUUAUUUUUAUUUAAGAAUAAUAUUAAAUAAUUUAGGAUAUGUAUUUAUUUAUAGUUUUGAAUAAUUUAUUAAAUAGGUUCCUGUAUGUAAAGAACCUACCUUCACUAACCUUCCAUUACUGACGGAACCAAGGAUGAUAAUAAAGACUUCCCUGGUGGUGUCUGGACUGUGUUUUGAAUAAUCGGUUGGUUACCUCCCAGAGAAAAUACUAAGUAAGUUUACCUUCCUCUUUAAUUUUUCCUUCCUUAAAAGGUUGCUUUUAAACACAUGGUAGUAGUUGAAAGUAUUCAACCAUGCUUGUGACAAUUUGUUAAUGUAGCAUAAUUUCCUAAUUCUGAUGAUUAAUAUUUUUAAUCACAUGAUAAAAAUAUGAUGGUACCUAACAUUGCUUUUGUAAAUCACAUCAAUUGAUAUAUGUUCAAGAAGUCAAAGGAAUUAAUCUUUCUAUUAAUUAUGUGUAGGAUGAUAAUACGGGCAUGUUAUGUGAGCUGGCUGCAGUCCGCUAAAAAAAAAAAAAAUACGGGAUGAGUUAAUAAUUUAGCCUUUUGACUUAUUUAGAUCCGUCUCGCAUAACUUGCAGUUUACACGGGUCAACGUGACGCGGGUUGGCUGACCCGCGUAAAUAAAAAAAAUUAUUUUAGUUUUUUAAAUAAAUAAAUUAUACCUCAGUCACUUAUUAUUACAGCGUGACCUUUAUUUUAUUUUAUAAAAAUUAAAUUUAAUGUAAAAAGAGAAUAUUUUAGUUUAAUCAUUUAAGUAAGUUAAUAUUAAGAGUGACAAAACUUUAAUUAUUUUUAAUCAAACCUUAUAACAACUCUCGUACUUGAAUUUCUUUAUAUUUUAAUCUUAACCGAAUGAAUUGAAAUAUGUAUUAAAUUUUAAUUUUUCAGAAGGAAAAAUAUAGUUUUUUAUAAGUACUAAAAUUUUAAUUUUUUUUAUGCAGGCUGGCCCACAGACUACCUCUUAUGUAGGGCGGACAAGUAAAAUAAAUCUACAUUUUUUGUGCAAGGCGGACCAACUCAACCUGUGUUUUGUGGGCUAAACGUGAGAUGGAUCAUAACAGAACAUGUCAACCCACAUUGUCAUCCUUAAUAAUUAUGUGAUAUCUAUACACUUGGAAGCAUGAUAUACUCAACAAUACAUAUUUUCUACUUCUUGGGUUUAUUGGCAUGAUAAUGUUAAAUUAUUUUCUUAUUUUACAGAUAUAGAUUAGCAAUGGUCAUGUCUAUGAAUAUGAAUCGGCACCGCAGAUGCUGUUUCUAUUUGCAACCUUGUGAAGGCUCUUCAGUCCAGAUCCUCGCACAAGGGAAGCUAAGUUCCCCACGUAUAUUAAGAAUUCGCAAAGUAAAAGCUUUUAUGUUUAUAUUACUUGACAAUUGGUGCUGAUAAUUGCAUUAAUAAUAUUUGGAUUUGUUGUUAAGAUGCCUUACUCAUGAUUUCCAAAAAUAUUAAGAAAAUUGUAUAUAAGAAGAUGGUAAAAAAAAUUGAGAUAAUUUUAUUUUUUUAUGGAUUGAAAAUAUAUGCAAGUGUACGAAAAUUUUCUCUUUUCAAAUAAGUAGUAAUUAGUAAAUAUUGUUCAUGAAUCAUAAUAAACACUAACAUAAUUAACAAGUAAAGUAAACAUGAAUACAAUAUAUAAUGUGUUACCUUUUAUUGGAAAUAGCCACUACAACUUUACUUAUUUUUUUUGAAUUUUUUUUUUAGUUAUUGUUCUAACACGAUUUCAACCUCUUGGUUUAUUUUUGGUAAAAUUGUGCUAUGAAACAUGUUUUAGAUUUGAAUUUAUUUAUUUUUAUUUAAUCAACACGAUUUUUUAAAACAUUUUUACAUGUUUUUGUAGAAAUUGUUAGUUGGGAACAUGACCUAACCUUAAUUAUUUUUUGUUUGUUAAAAUAUCUACUUUCAAGCACGUUUUCAACUUUAAUUUUUCCUUUUUUCUUUUUAUUUUACAUUUCUUUUGUUUUAUACCUAAAUGAUUUUUAGUUUUCUGAAAAAAAUUAUUUAAUGGUUUUUAUUUUUUUUUUUACUUUAUUUUUGUCAAUUGUUUCUUAUUUAAUGCAUUUUUUUAUUAAGUUAAAUAUUUGUGUGACAAUCCAAAGAUAUUUUUAUUAACAUUUGUAAUUGGAGAAAGAAAACUUUGAUUUGGUUUUUUCAAUUAUUGUUAAUAUGUUACACGCAAUCAAAUUUAGGCUUAAUAACAAAUAAAAGACCAACUAUCUUAUUAACAUUUGUAAUUGGACAAAGAAAACUUUGAUUUGGUUUUUUCAAUUAUUGUUAAUAUGUUACACGCAAUCAAAUUUAGGCUUAAUAACAAAUAAAAGACCAACUAUCUUAUUAACAUUUGUAAUUGGACAAAGAACACUUUGAUUUGGUUUUUUCAAUUAUUGUUAAUACGUUACACGCAAUCAAAUUUAGGCUUAAUAACAAAUAAAAGACCAACUAUCUUAUUAGCACUACAUUCUUGAAGAAGUUGGUCGAAAGACAUAGGGUUUACUCUUAGUAUAUUGCAUAUAAUAUAUUUCAUCCAACUUCAACUAAAAUAUCAGAGUUCAAUAGUUGAUUAACAUAAUUAUUACGAAGUGGAUUUUAAGCCUAACUCAACCCCAUAAAACCGGCUUUAAUCUCUAGUCGGUGUGGGAUCUCCAACACACCCCCCUCACGUCGAGACUACCUACUCGUGCGUGAGACUAUAUAUUAUGGGUGGGUCCGAUAGCGGGUGGCCUGAUAAGCCCAACAAAUACUCUUGCUAGGAUAGACUCGUAAUGGCUCUGAUACCAUAUUACGAAGUGGAUUUUAAGCCUAACUCAACCCCAUAAAACCGGCUCUAAUCUCUAGUCGGUGUGGGAUCUCCAACAAUAAUUAUUGAUAUUCUUCGAUUUUAGUUACAAAUUACUUCACUAUCAUGUAAAGAUUACAUUAUAUAAUUUGCAAAAUUGUUAUAGGUUACAAAAGGAAUAAGAGGAUCUUAAAGAAGGAACGCAUAGAUCAUAUAUAAAUUUUCACAAUAUUGUUGCAGCUACAAGUCUAGUCAUGGGUCACUUCAAAAGUACGCUUAGCGAGCUUUUCCUACUCUAAUUAGUGUCUUGAACCUCUGGUUUGCAUGAGAUCAAUCAAAAUUAGGAAAGGCUAGAGGGGGGAGGUUGGGUAGAGACGGUUCGUUCCUAGUUAGGGGGUGUUGUUUUUGUUUCUAGGUAGCAUUACAUGUGAUUGGCAGAUGGAUGUCACUCUUUUCGUAUAAGGGUUGAGAUAUUCCUGAAAUACCUCCAUUUAUUCUAUUCUUUUUUUGUCGAUAAAAAAAAUGAAACAACUUAUAGUUCAAGAAGUGUUGAAGAUCUCACAUUGACUAAAGAUAAUAACAUUUUACCAUAUAUAAGUGGAUGUAAACCUCAUUUUUUAAAUUGGUUUUAUAAGGUUGAGUUCUCUAGUUGUUAAUAAGUUGUUUCAUGGACAAAUCAAAUACCAAUGAAGAAGUUAAAAAAAAAAUUAAUUAUAAAUUAACAAUUUAACAAAACAAAAUGGUAUUGAGAAACAGAUUUUCAACAUUACAAAUUUCUACCACCAAACACUCAUUUUAUAAGUAUUAACUAGGAACUACACAUGCUUAAAUUCCAUUAAUAUUUAUCACAAUAAACUAUAAAAAAAAAAAACCCUUUCAUAAUAAAGUAUAUAUCACACAUUAUAUCUACUUUAUUUUCUCCGAUAACAUUAUGAGAAUGACCUACAAUCCCACGAAAUACAAUUUACAAGGUAGACGUUAUAAAAUUAGCAAAAGUGCUUUGAGGUUGGUUUUGGUUGCGAAGCAUGUGAUUAAACUCCUUCGCAAACCUCUCCAUAGCUUCAGCAGGCAAGCUAAUCGGAAAUAUUAUUCCUUCUUCUCCUUUUCCAUUCUUAGCAGAACAGAAAUAAGAUGCCCCUGGAAAGCUUCCAGCCCCAGCUUCGGCCACUCCACCAUACACAGCCUCACCCCACCCAAAAUCCAUGGCUCUAAAUUUCACUUGUACCAAAUAUGACACAAUACAAGACCUCACAGUUGUGAAUAAUAAGCUUCGUUCCUUCAUCACCAUCAAGUCGGCAACAGAUUGCAAGUACUCUUCUUUCAUCUCACCUUUCACUUUAUUUAUUAACUCCACUGCAUACCCAAAUGGGUUUUGGCAAAGCUUCCCUGCACUCGUUACUGCCGCCGGAUAUGCAAAAGCAUUGCCGUAGUAACCAACUGGUAGUGGAGGAUUGAACCGACCACGUGCGUUAACUAUGCACAUCAUGCGAACAUCCUCAUUCGCCUCUAUCUGCAUUGCUUUUGUGCGACAUCGCCAAAGACAUGCUGCGAUAAGAUCAAAUGUGGAGCAAUGUUGAAGGUGUUGGGGAAUGAAUUUGCGAAGUGCAGCUAUGUCGAGGCGUCCAAAGAAGAAUGAUCGUUGAAUCAAGUUGUGGUUGGAAGAAGGGAGGAUAUCUUGGAUUUGCUCGUAUUCGCGGUGGUUGCGUGUAAUGCGAGGUGGAUCUCUUGCCAUUAGGAGCUCCCUACGCCAUACUGGUGCAAUGGAAGGUUUUGUUGCUCCUCUAGCCAUUUCGGCCCAAGCGUUCAUGAAUUGUUGACAACCAAAAGCAUCAACCAUGGUGUGGUUAAAUUGGAGGGCUAAGAUGAAACCACCACACUUGAGUCGUGUCACCUGCAUUUAUAUUUCAUUUUCAACAAAUUAGACAAUUUCAUUGUUUAACUCUCACAUUUAUUAUGAAAUUCUAAUAUAUAUUUAAGAUAUCAUAAUUGAAAUUGUGUAACUUAAGAAAAAUGAGCUAAAAUGAAAAUGUGAUAUGUCAAUUUAAUUAUUUAAUUUUAGUAAACUAAGCACUUGUGCACGUGAUUUUAGUGAUUUUUUUUUAUUUUGAAGAAUAAGUGAAUAAUAGAUAAAAUAAGAUUUUAAAAUGCAAUUCACAGUAUUAAAAUAGGAGUUAGAGAUGACCUCAACCAUAAAUUGUUGCAUAUUUAUUUAAAUUAAAACGAAUUUAAAGAUUUUAAUAAAAAGUUAUAAUCUGGUUUUUGAUAUUCUAUUAGACAGGUAACAAUAAUACUUAUUAACAAAAAAAAAACUUAUUAACAAUAUUAUUGAAUUAAAAUAAUUUUGUAAUGUUAAAGUGAUAAAACAAAAGCUGAACUGCAAAUAACUACAACAAAAAAUUAACUUAAAAUUACUAAAACCAGUGGAAAGCCGUGAAUCUUACAUCUUAUAAAUUAAAACAAAUUUGUCAUGGAUUUUAGGUAACAGAUAUCACACAUAAAAUAAAAUUAAACAAAUGAUUAAUGAAUUAUAAAAACAAGAAUCAAAAGUGUUCUUCCAAUACAUUCGACAUAUACCUGAAAUAAAUAAAAAAUAUAAAAUGAAUAAAACGUGUCUUAGUUUGAUGAGUAUGUGUAGUGAACCUGUACGAGUAGAAGGGGAGUGUUGGUAAUUUGUUGUGAGCCAGGAACAUCGUACAGCAGUUCAUCAAAGCAUGGAAAUGGAGGUUGGAGAGAAUCACCAAACUCAGCCAGUGUGACGUCAGCAUCACCCUCCAUGAACAUGACACCUUCUCCAGUGCAAUCCACCAUUAGUUUGCGCUGAGGUCCCUCCCUAAGCCUACCCGCAAAUGGGUAAUAGAAGACAAGUGUUUGUGACAAUGCUUUCCGAAUCACUUCAACUGGGUCUUUCUCUGCCAUUGAUGCCUGCUUUCUAUAAAUUUGUAUCAUUGGAAUGUGGAAACGCAGGGCUUCUUGAUCAUCAAUGUCGGAAAGUAGCUUGAGUUCAUGAGGAGUGGGGAUAGCAGGAGCCACCAGCUGGGGUUGGGACCUUCGCACUGUAAACUUUAGAGAAGAAGAAGAAGAAGAUGAUGAUAAAGAUGAGGCCAUGAGAAUUAUGAGAGAAGAGAAGAGAAAUUAAGCAAGUGGAUUUUGGUUGAGUGAAUGUGAGUUCCUAGGGCUCAGCCUGCAACCCUUUAUAGAUGGAAAUCAUUCUCAUUAAAUAAAUACGAAACACGUUUUCAUGACGAGCAAUAAUACUUUCUAAGACUUCAAAACUAAAAGAUUAUUCAUAAUUUUUUUUAUGAAAUAAACAAUUUUAAAAUUAUAUUAACCUAAUUACAAUUAUAAACUGGGAAUUUUCAAUUUUCAGAUGACAAUAUUUUUCAAACUAACAAUAAUCUGAAAUGAAAGUGUAUUACUCUUGGAUGCAUAAUAAAUCUUUCUCUUUCAUGAUAACAUAAGAUAAACAAUACCGAAUAUUCUGAAUAUUAUAACUUAAGAACAAAAUAAUUUUUAACAAUGCUAUUUUAAUUCUUAAAAUUAAAAUAAUUUUAAUAGUAAAUUUGUCUCUUAUAAUUUAAUAGAGUAUUAUUACAAAGUGGACUUUAAGCCUAACUCAAUCCCAUAAAACUGGCUCAUAAGGUUGAGGUUUGCACCCACUUAUAUAUAAUGAAAGGCUCUAAUAUCUAGUCGAUGAGGGAUCUUCAACAAGUAUAAUUAUGACAUUAUUUAAGUUUUUAGUUGCUUAAAUAUUAAAAUAAAAUUUUAUUUUUUCAUGAUUAAAUUCAAAUUAUUUCAUGUAUCUAGAUAAUCAUUCAUUAUAAGAUAUAGACAUUGAAGUGUAUUAUUAUUAUUAAACUAAAGUUUAUAAAUAUAAAAUAAAGUUAAACAUAAGUUUGCAUAUAAGAUUAUUUAUGAAAGGUCAUACAUCAAUACGAAAAUGGACCCAAAGUGUCACACAGCCACAAUAUAACCUGACCUUAUCAAGUGCUUACCAGUCAAAGAAUAUUUGGUAUCCAUGGUUUUGCAUUUUUCAUAUUUUGUGUGUGUGGAAUCACAAUGGAAGAUCUUCUUUUUUAUUUAUUUUACUUCUGCAUAUUUACGUAUUCCUAUCUCUUUAAAUUGAAUUUUCUUUAUAUCAAAUCACACAAAUAAAUUUAAUAUUAUAUACCAAUUGCACUACAAGAAAAACGCGAAUUACAUACAGAUUAUUACAUACGGAUUAAAAUCCGUAUGUAAAAUCAACAUUACAUACGGAUUAAAAUCCGUAUGUAAUUUUUGGCGCCAUGCAGGAUUUUUUCCGUAUGUAAAUAUUAGCACCAUAAAAUAAAAUUAGCAGUGAAUGGGAUUCGAAACCAGGUUCCUUCAGCAAUCCUUCAGCAACCAAGUAAAAUUUAACCACUACACCAAGCAAAUUCUUUAGUUUUAUUAUGAUUUUUAUUAUACUUAUUAUUAUUAAUAAUACUAACAAUAUUAAUAAUACAAACAAUAUUAAUAAUAUUAACAAUAUUAACAAUAUUAAUAAUAUUAACAAUACUAACAAUAUUAAUAAUACUAACAAUAUUAAUAAUACUAAAAAUAUUAAUAAUACUAACAAUAAUAAUAAUACUAACAAUAAUAAUGAUACUAACAAUAUUAACAUAUGAAUCACAUUUAAUUUAUCUAUAAUCUACUUGAAUCUAAACAUAAUUUAUUAUAUUAUCUAUUAGUAUGAAUCAAAUUUAAUAUAUGUCAUACUCAUAGUCAUCAUAUUACCUNNNNNNNNNNNNNNNNNNNNNNNNNNNNNNNNNNNNNNNNNNNNNNNNNNNNNNNNNNNNNNNNNNNNNNNNNNNNNNNNNNNNNNNNNNNNNNNNNNNNNNNNNNNNNNNNNNNNNNNNNNNNNNNNNNNNNNNNNNNNNNNNNNNNNNNNNNNNNNNNNNNNNNNNNNNNNNNNNNNNNNNNNNNNNNNNNNNNNNNNNNNNNNNNNNNNNNNNNNNNNNNNNNNNNNNNNNNNNNNNNNNNNNNNNNNNNNNNNNNNNNNNNNNNNNNNNNNNNNNNNNNNNNNNNNNNNNNNNNNNNNNNNNNNNNNNNNNNNNNNNNNNNNNNNNNNNNNNNNNNNNNNNNNNNNNNNNNNNNNNNNNNNNNNNNNNNNNNNNNNNNNNNNNNNNNNNNNNNNNNNNNNNNNNNNNNNNNNNNNNNNNNNNNNNNNNNNNNNNNNNNNNNNNNNNNNNNNNNNNNNNNNNNNNNNNNNNNNNNNNNNNNNNNNNNNNNNNNNNNNNNNNNNNNNNNNNNNNNNNNNNNNNNNNNNNNNNNNNNNNNNNNNNNNNNNNNNNNNNNNNNNNNNNNNNNNNNNNNNNNNNNNNNNNNNNNNNNNNNNNNNNNNNNNNNNNNNNNNNNNNNNNNNNNNNNNNNNNNNNNNNNNNNNNNNNNNNNNNNNNNNNNNNNNNNNNNNNNNNNNNNNNNNNNNNNNNNNNNNNNNNNNNNNNNNNNNNNNNNNNNNNNNNNNNNNNNNNNNNNNNNNNNNNNNNGAAUAUUAAUACUAAUAAUAUUAAUACUAAUAAUAAUAUCAAUAAUAAUAUUAAUAAAUAUUAAUAAUAAUAUGAAUAUUAAUACUAAUAAUAAUAAUAAUAAUAUUAAUAAUAUUAAUAAUAAUAUUAAUAAUAAUAAUAAUAAUAAUAAUAAUAUUAAUAAUAUUAAUAAUAUUAGUAAUAAUAUUAGUAAUAAUAUUAAUAAUAUUAAUAAUAAUAUUAAUAAUAUUAAUAAUAAUAUUAAUAAUAUUAAUAGUAAUAUUAAUAAUAUGAAUAAUAAUAUUAAUAAUAUGAAUAAUAAUAUUAAUAAUAUUAAUAAUAAUGUUAAUAAUAUUAAUAAUAAUAUUAAUAAUAAUGUUAAUAAUAAUAUUAAUAAUAAUAUUAAUAAAUAUUAAUAAUACGAAUAUAAUGUUAAUAAUAAUAUUAAUUAUAACAUUAAUAAAUAUUAAUAAUAUUUAUAAUAUGAAUAUAAUGUUAAUAAUAAUAUUAAUUAUAACAUUAAUAAAUAUUAAUAAUAUGAAUAAUAUUAAUAAAUAUUAAUAAUAUAAAUAUAAUUUAUUUUAUUAUUAUUAUUAAUAAUUAUAUUAAUAUGUAUAAAUUAUAUUAAUAUGUAUAAGUAUAAUAAAAAUGAUAAUAUGACCAAAGAACUUGUCUGGUCUAGUGGUCAAUGCUUCCCCUGGUCACUGGAAAGACUUGGGUUCGAAUCCUGGCUGCUGCAGUUUGCUUGUAACAUUAUUUGGGGCUUGGUUUCGAGUCCUAGCCAGUGCAAAAUGCCUCUAGGAUUAAUAAAAAAAUAUAGAUAAUGAUAAAUAAUAAUUAGUAAUAAUGAAAAAAUUAAAAAAAAAAUUUACAUUACAUACGGAUUUUAGGUCUUACAUACGGAUUUUGACUGUAUGUAAUUCCAAGUUUUCUUGUAGUGUUGCUAAAUUCAUUCAUAUCUAAUAUUAGAAACAAUGUUGAUAUUUACCCCCGAUAAAAUUAUUGUGAGUAUUAUUACCAAAUACGAUAUAAUUUUCCCCGUUAUAUUGAACCUCUCUUUGCAUUUUGUUAAAGUUGAUGUGAGAAAAAAAAAAACAUGUAGUCUGAUCACGGUGAAGAACGUAAAAAUUGUGUAAAAUUAAAAAAAGUCACAGUAAGUUGUAAAAUUAAAAAAAAAUCACAGUAAGUUGCCAGAGGCCGUGAAUUUAAAAUUUGAUAUUAAAUUUUUUAUAUGUUGAGAGUUAUUGAAAGAAUCUUAUCCACGAAAAGAAAAGAAUGAAUGUAUACCACUUAUAUUUCAAUAUUUUGACAAUCAUCACGCAAAACAGGUGCCACAUUUGACACAUUUAACGAGAAGUGAUGUGUCUCAGAAGACGAAGACUUUUCUCACAAUCAUUCAUUACUGUGUUCGUACUAUGAAACAUUAAUUGUCUGUUUGUUUUUGGACAGAAAUACUAAAACUUAAAAAUUCAACCAAAAAUAUCAACAUUUAAACUUUCGGUUUAAAAGUGCGAGAAGAAGAUGUGGCAAAAAAUAAUCAAAUAAACAAACUCGAUUCCAGAAUCCUAUGAAUUAUGGUAAUUGCGUACUAUGUUUUGCUGAUCAUACACACCAAAUUUAUUUUAAAAUAUAAAAUAAUUUGAGAUGGAUAAAUUAGAAAAAUGAAAAAUAUUAUUAUUUUUUUAUUAGGUUAAGGGUGUUCACAAAUUUUGUACAUGUAAAAGAAAAACAUUCCCAUCAAAAUUAAGAGUAAGAAAGGAUUGUUACGUACUUCAGUAAUAGUGGUGGUGGUUAGCUACUUCUUUUGUGUGUUAAUAAGAGUUAAUAGGUGAAAGAAUCUUAUCCACGAAAGAAAAAGAAUGAAUGCAUACAACAAGUAUUACUUAUAUUUCAAUAAUUUGACAAUCAUCACGCAAAGAACGUGCCACAUUUAACACAUUUAAUGAGAAGUGAUUUCUGACCAGACGUUCACCAAUACAAAAACCAUUCCUUCCCGUGGUGUUCUUACUAUGAAACAUUAAUUGUCUGUUUAUUUUUCGAUAGAAAUAGUCAAACCUUAAUGCUCUGUUUGUAUACAGUAUUUGUACCUUAAUGCUCUGUUUGUAUACGAUAUUUGUUUCUAGUCAUCUAGACAUAUGUAAAGGCAAAGAAAGAUGAAUGAAGAUAUAAGGUAUCUUCUAUAGUCGAAGAGAAAGUGAAACACAGCAUACAAAGGCUCUCAAAAAAUAAUUUUCUUAUAUUAAUAAUAAUAAAAAUAAUUAUUAAUAUUACUUUUUUAUAAAAAAAAAUAUACUUAAUAUAUAUAUAUAUAUAAUAUAAUAUAAUGUAAUUUAGAUUAAUAAAAUAAAAUAAUAUAAUUAUAUUUAAUUUUUUAAUUUUAUUUCUUUAUUUUAAUUUUACAUUAUUUUAUUUUUUAUUUAUAAUUGUAAUUUUAUAUUAUUUUAAUCAACUAAAAUAUCCACAAAAUUAAUUAUUAUUAGAAUUAGUUUUAUUUCAGAUAUUCAUUUAAGUAGGAUAUUAAGUAAAUUAGAAUUUGUAUAAGCAUUUGUAUAUGUUUUGUUUUUGGUUGACUAAUAAUCCAUCUUUCCUUAUAGGCUUUGGGAUAUUGGUGAGCAGAGAUGUGUGCAUUCUUAUGUUGUUCAUACAGAUUCAGUAACAUUUAGUCAUGUUUAUAGUUUCAGUGAGUGUCCUUUUGUUGUGAAAAUUAAUAAUUUUAAUAGGUUCCUGUAUGUAAAGAACCUACCUUCACUAACCUGGGUACACCUGGAAUAGUACAACAUGAAGUUUUGAAUAAUAAGAGGCAUGUGUUGACGAAGGUAACAGUGGUGUUUUCUGGUCAUUUUUUGUGCCAUGCAUAUUGAUAGUUCGUUGGUGUCAUCCAUUUUUGUGUGAAAUUAAUAUCCUUUGUCGUUACUGGGAAUCCUAACAUGCAUGGGAAUCCUAUUUGCUGUAAUGAGUUGUAUUUUCACUAUUGUCUGAAUGUUCAUUAUUGGUACCACGAGUAACUUUAAUUUUUGCUAAAAUUGUGCUAUGAAACAUGUUUUAGAUUUUAAUUGAUUUUUUUAUUUAAUCAAGCACGAUUUGUUUUUUUUUUAAACUUUUUUAUUUGUUUUUGUUGAAAUCUAAUUGGGAAGAUGACCUAACCUUGGUUUUUUUGUUUGUUUGUUAAAAUCUACUUUCAAGCACGUUUUCAACUUUAAUUUUUUCUUUUUAUUUGUCAUUUCUUUUUGUUUUAUACCUAAAUGAUAUUUAGUUUUUUGAAAAGUUUUUAUUUAAUUUUUUUACUUUAGUUUUGCAAAUUGUUUCUUAUUUAAUGUAUUUGUUUUUAUUAACUUAAAUAUUUGUUUGACAAUCCAAACAUAUUUCCAUUAACAUUCGUAAUUGGACAAAGGAAGCUUUGAUUUGCUUCUUCUAAUUAUUGUUAAUAUUAUUACACCUCAAUAAAUUUUAGGCUUGAUAUUAAAUAAAAGACCAACUAUUUUGUUAGCACUAUAAUAUGAAGUUGUUGGAAGACAUAGGGUUAGUAUAGUGCAUAUACAAUAUAUUACUUUCAACUUCAACUAAAUAUUCAAAGUUAAAGACAUGUUUUAGCCCAAUGGCACAUGCUGGUAUGCAAGCUGCUUUGACAUGUAGGCUCUGGCACAUACUGGUUCAGGAAUUUUUUUUUAGCAUGUUUUGGUGAUGUGGGUUUGCUGAGAAAGCGUGCUCGGGAACCUAUUUUUUUGGAGUUAGGCUAUGUUAUUGUCAUAUUCUAGUCUCCUUUAGAAGCAUAGGAUUGGUUAGUUGGUUCUUUGGCUCACUAUUUUCACCUUAUUUUGACUUGAAACUUUGAUACAUGCUCUUGAGAUUAGUUUUUUUUUUUAUGUAUAAGGUUGUCUCACAUUUUUCUGAAGAGUCACUUCAAAUUUACAAAAUUCUUUGUUGACAAAAAAAAAUAUAUAAGUAAUGUAAAUCACAUUUUAUAAAUUAAUUUUAUAAAGUUGAGUUAUCAAUUUCUUAAUAAGUUGUUUCAUGGACAAAUCAAAUAACAGUGAAAAAGUUUAAAUAAAAAAGAUAAUUAUAAAUUAACAAUUUAACAAAACAAAAUGUUAUUUAGAAACAAAUUUCUACCACAAAACACUCAUUCUUAUAAAAGUUUAAAAAUUACAUAAAUUUCAUACAAAAUAUCUCCAUUUUGUUAAAUUAGACCAUGUUACCCACUAGUAAUGCCUAAGAACUACACCUGCUAAAAUUUCAUUGAUAUUUAUCACAACAAACCAGUACAUUUCUUCAUAAUACAAAAUAUAUCUCACAUUAUAUCUACUUCUUUUCUUCGGUCACAUUAUGAGAAUGACCUAUAAUCCCAUGAAAUACAGUUUACAAGGUAGACCUUAUAAAAUUAGAAGUGCUUUGAGGUUGGUUUUGGUUGCGAAGCAUGUCAUUAAACUCUUUGGUAAACCUUUCCAUAGCUUCAGCAGGCAAGAAAAUCGAAAAUGUCAUUCCUUCUUCUCCUUUUCCAUUCUUAGCAGAACAGAAAUAAGAUACCGCUGGAAAGCCCCCAGCCCCAGCAUGGGCCACUCCACCAUAGAUAGCUUCACCCCAACCAAAAUCGAUUACUCUAAAAUUCGUACGUGCCAAAUAUGAUACAAUAUAAGACCUCACAGUUGUGAAUAAUAAGCUUCGUUCCUUCAUCACCAUCAAGUCGGCAACAGAUUGCAAGUACUCUUCUUUCAUCUCACCUUUCACUUUAUUUAUUAACUCCACCGCAUACCCAAAUGGGUUUUGGCAAAGCUUCCCUGCACUCGUUACUGCCGCCGGAUAUGCAAAAGCAUUGCCGUAGUAACCAACUGGUAGUGAAGGAUUGAACCGACCACGUGCGUUAACUAUGCACAUCAUGCGAACAUCCUCAUUUGCCUCUAUCUGCAUUGCUUUAGUGCGACAUCGCCACAAACAUGCUGUGAUAAGAUCAAAUGUAGAGCAAUGUUGAAGGUGUUGGGGAAUGGAUUUGCGAAGUGCAGCUAUAUCGAGGCGUCCAAAGAAGAAUGAUCGUUGAAUCAAGUUGUGGUUGGAAGAAGGGAGGGUAUCUUGGAUUUGCUCGUAUUCGCGAUGGUUGCAUGUAAUGCGAGGUGGAUCUCUUGCCAUUAGGAGCUCCCUACGCCAUACUGGUGCAAUGGAAGGUUUGGUUGCUCCUCUAGCCAUUUCGGCCCAAGCGUUCAUGAAUUGUUGGUAACCAAAACCAUCAACCAUGGUGUGGCUAAAGCGGAGAGCUAAG
RNAcentral lists this long non-coding RNA (25235 nucleotides) under Phaseolus vulgaris (common bean). Its description in RNAcentral is "long non-coding RNA (PVUL_LNC002685)". The record is from RNAcentral. Lineage: Eukaryota; Viridiplantae; Streptophyta; Magnoliopsida; Fabales; Fabaceae.